This 183-nucleotide ribosomal RNA is filed under the name uncultured Methanolinea sp. RNAcentral describes it as "partial 16S ribosomal RNA". It matches the Rfam family "Archaeal small subunit ribosomal RNA", at positions 1161 to 1338 of the family's 1478-position model. The record is from RNAcentral. Lineage: Archaea; Methanobacteriati; Methanobacteriota; Methanomicrobia; Methanomicrobiales; Methanoregulaceae.
UUAUCCGGGCUACACGCGGGCUACAAUGGUCAGGACAAUGGGGUAUCGACAACCGACGAAGGUGGAGGCAAUCUCUUAAACCUGUCCUUAGUUCGGAUUGUGGGCUGCAACUCGCCCACAUGAAGCUGGAAUCUGUAGUAAUCGCGUCUCAAAAUAGGCGCGGUGAAUAUGUCCCUGCUCCUU